AAAGGAUUUGGAUUCCUCAGAUAAAAGUUCUUCUCGCCUCUUCUCUUCUCUUAGCUGCUGCUGCUUCUUAUUCUUCUUCUUCUUCCUCUUCUUCUUCUUCUCCUUCUGCUUCUUUAUCUUCUUCUUUCCUCUCUCUUUCUCUCUCUCUUUUUCUCUCUCUCUCAUUUCUUUGUUUUGUUUUGAAACAGGGUCUUGCUCUGCUGAAAUGCAGUGGCAUGAUUAUAGCCCACUGCAGCCUCCAACUCCUGGGCUCAAGCCAUCCUCCCACCUCAGCCUCCAGAGUAGCCGGGACUACC
RNAcentral lists this long non-coding RNA (296 nucleotides) under Homo sapiens (human). RNAcentral's name for it is "non-protein coding lnc-CPM-7:1". Lineage: Eukaryota; Metazoa; Chordata; Mammalia; Primates; Hominidae. The record is from RNAcentral.